CUCAUUAAGGUGGGUGGAAUAGUAUAACAAUGUGCUAAAUGUUGUUAUAGUAUCCCACCUACCCUGAUGUG
Molecule: non-coding RNA, 71 nt
Organism: Ictidomys tridecemlineatus (thirteen-lined ground squirrel)
Lineage: Eukaryota; Metazoa; Chordata; Mammalia; Rodentia; Sciuridae
Source: Rfam